GACGAACGCUGGCGGCGUGCUUAACACAUGCAAGUCGAACGGAAAGGCCCUGCUUUUGUGGGGUGCUCGAGUGGCGAGCGGGUGAGUAACACGUGAGUAACCUGCCCUUGACUUUGGGAUAACUUCAGGAAACUGGGGCUAAUACCGGAUAGGAGCUCCUGCUGCAUGGUGGGGGUUGGAAAGUUUCGGCGGUUGGGGAUGGACUCGCGGCUUAUCAGCUUGUUGGUGGGGUAGUGGCUUACCAAGGCUUUGACGGGUAGCCGGCCUGAGAGAGUGACCGGCCACAUUGGGACUGAGAUACGGCCCAGACUCCUACGGGAGGCAGCAGGGGGGAAUAUUGCACAAUGGGCGGAAGCCUGAUGCAGCAACGCCGCGUGCGGGAUGACGGCCUUCGGGUUGUAAACCGCUUUCGCCUGUGACGAAGCGUGAGUGACGGUAAUGGGUAAAGAAGCACCGGCUAACUACGUG
This 468-nucleotide ribosomal RNA is filed under the name uncultured bacterium. Its description in RNAcentral is "partial 16S ribosomal RNA". It matches the Rfam family "Bacterial small subunit ribosomal RNA", at positions 28 to 507 of the family's 1533-position model. The record is from RNAcentral.